Molecule: ribosomal RNA, 403 nt
Filed under: Papilio iswara karimatanus
Lineage: Eukaryota; Metazoa; Arthropoda; Insecta; Lepidoptera; Papilionidae
Description: partial 16S ribosomal RNA
Source: RNAcentral
GGGCUGCAGUAUUUUGACUGUACAAAGGUAGCAUAAUCAAUAGUCUCUUAAUUGGUGACUUGUAUGAAAGAUUGGAUGAGAUAUAGACUGUCUCUAGUUAAUUUAUAGAAAUUAAUUUUUUAGUUAAAAAGCUAAAAUAAUUUUAAAAGACGAGAAGACCCUAUAGAGUUUAAUAAUUUAUUUAAUUAUAUUAUUUUAUAAAUUUUAAAAAUUAAAAUUAAAUGAAUUAUUUUGUUGGGGUGAUAAAAAAAUUAAAUUAACUUUUUUUGAUUAUUAACAUUAAUUUAUGAUUUAAUGAUCCAUUAAUAGUGAUUAAAAGAAAAAAUUACCUUAGGGAUAACAGCGUAAUUUUUUUUUUUAGUUCAAAUAGGAAAAAAAGUUUGCGACCUCGAUGUUGGAUUAA